CGCGCAGGCGGUCGAUUAAGUCGAGUGUGAAAGCCCCCGGCUCAACUGGGGAGGGUCACUUGAUACUGGUCGACUCGAAGGCAGGAGAGGGAAGUGGAAUUCCCGGUGUAGUGGUGAAAUGCGUAGAUAUCGGGAGGAACACCAGUGGCGAAGGCGACUUCCUGGCCUGUUCUUGACGCUGAGGCGCGAAAGCUAGGGGAGCAAACGG
This 208-nucleotide ribosomal RNA is filed under the name uncultured Acidobacteriota bacterium. Its description in RNAcentral is "uncultured Acidobacteria bacterium partial 16S ribosomal RNA". It matches the Rfam family "Bacterial small subunit ribosomal RNA", at positions 568 to 775 of the family's 1533-position model. Lineage: Bacteria; Pseudomonadati; Acidobacteriota. The record is from RNAcentral.